Oryzias latipes (Japanese medaka) is the source of this 1096-nucleotide non-coding RNA. NCBI's taxonomy places the organism in Eukaryota, Metazoa, Chordata, Actinopteri, Beloniformes, Adrianichthyidae. The record is from RefSeq and is a predicted model, not a curated record.
AUCACAGGUGACAUUGUUACAACUAUGCAGCUUACAGCGAGUGAGUGAAGGUGGGGGCUGAUCAGAUAAGGUGGUGAGGUCCGGGGAGAGAAAUAAUUUUGCUAGAAACAGAAACUAAAUGUCCCAAAAAAUUUUAACCUGUGCUUGGGCCAGCUGGAGGUUAGUCUUACUGCACUUAUUCCCCUGAGAGUUGAAACUUCGAAAGAUUAGCAGACAUGUCCAUUAAAAAAAAUGUGAGGCGAGUUAGUGGACCAGAGAUCCUCAGGAAUGCUUUUAAGGGGUCAGUCCUGAUUUACAAGCAGAAAUGCAGGGACCUGAUCAGUGGGGUCAGAAGGCUGCAAUCAAACUUUUUAUGAGCAGGGAGAGUGAACUAAAAAAAGGGAAGCGGCAUCAGCCAUCUGAGUCUGAUCAUGUUUAUUCAAGAAGGAGGUGUGUCCUGCACAAACUGAUCCACGUCUGCUUUGUAAGAAAUGAUACUUUCUAUAGCUUUUUCUGAACAUCUACCUUAGUCCAUGUCCUAAACACUAAAACACGUCCUAUCAUUAUUCUGAGAGCAUAGAAAGCUGUUAUAUCUGCUUACAACUGAGAAAUCACCCCUCCUUUCUGCGAGUUCUCAUCAGCCUGUCUGCAGGCUCGGGCACGCGCACUCUGAUCUGUGAAGCUGUUCCCCCCUCCUUCUGCUCUGUCCUGCACUCUGAGGCUGCUUAACUUUCCAUGAAAUCCAUAAUCUUUAACCAAUUUAUCAAAAUACUUGAUUAAUGUCUGAUCCUGACUUUCCACAUACUUCCAAACUUCAUGAAAAGCUUUCUGGACCUGACCAAUGUGCCGUCUUUCUUUUUAGUGAGAUUUUGUGAAUGAGUCCCACCCAUCUUUUUGAGGUUUUUGAUCGACGAUCAGCCACAACCUUCUCAAUUUCAAUCACAAACCAGAGCUCCCACCCAAGUAACCCUUUUUAUGGAUUCUCCAGCACUGAAUCUAAUCAGUAGAAAAAGCUUGGAGAAUCAGAAAGAAACCUAAUUAUUUGUCAACUGAGUCACUAUUUUGUUUUAGAACGAGGCAUUAAUCAAAGUGAGCACACACCACAGGAGCUGUCGAA